Molecule: ribosomal RNA, 254 nt
Filed under: uncultured bacterium
Lineage: Bacteria
Description: partial 16S ribosomal RNA
Rfam family: Bacterial small subunit ribosomal RNA
Source: RNAcentral
UACGGUGGGAGCAAGCGUUGUUCGGAUUUACUGGGCGUAAAGGGCGCGUAGGCGGUCAGCACAAGUCAGUUGUGAAAUCUCCGGGCUUAACUCGGAAAGGUCAACUGAUACUGUGCGACUAGAGUGCAGAAGGGGCAACUGGAAUUCUCGGUGUAGCGGUGAAAUGCGUAGAUAUCGAGAGGAACACCUGCGGCGAAGGCGGGUUGCAGGGCUGACACUGACGCUGAGGCGCGAAAGCCAGGGGAGCGAACGGG